Molecule: ribosomal RNA, 756 nt
Filed under: Arthrobacter sp. LZX08
Lineage: Bacteria; Bacillati; Actinomycetota; Actinomycetes; Micrococcales; Micrococcaceae
Description: bacterial SSU rRNA
Rfam family: Bacterial small subunit ribosomal RNA
Source: RNAcentral
GCUUAACACAUGCAAGUCGAACGAUGAAGCCCAGCUUGCUGGGUGGAUUAGUGGCGAACGGGUGAGUAACACGUGAGUAACCUGCCCCCGACUCUGGGAUAAGCCCGGGAAACUGGGUCUAAUACCGGAUAUGACCUCGCACCGCAUGGUGCGGGGUGGAAAGAUUUAUCGGUGGGGGAUGGACUCGCGGCCUAUCAGCUUGUUGGUGAGGUAAUGGCUCACCAAGGCGACGACGGGUAGCCGGCCUGAGAGGGUGACCGGCCACACUGGGACUGAGACACGGCCCAGACUCCUACGGGAGGCAGCAGUGGGGAAUAUUGCACAAUGGGCGCAAGCCUGAUGCAGCGACGCCGCGUGAGGGAUGACGGCCUUCGGGUUGUAAACCUCUUUCAGUAGGGAAGAAGCGAAAGUGACGGUACCUGCAGAAGAAGCGCCGGCUAACUACGUGCCAGCAGCCGCGGUAAUACGUAAGGCGCAAGCGUUAUCCGGAUUUAUUGGGCGUAAAGAGCUCGUAGCGGUUUGUCGCGUCUGCCGUGAAAGUCCGAGGCUCAACCUCGGAUCUGCGGUGGGUACGGGGCAAACUANAGUGGAUGUAGGGGANACUGGAAUUCCUGGUGUANCGGUGAAAUGCCCANAUAUCAGGAGGAACNCCCGAUGGCGAAAGCAGGUCUCCUGGGCAUUUACUGGNCCCUUAAGNACCAAAANCAUGGGGGAGCGANCAGGAUUAAAAUACCUGGUAGCCCCCCCUNUAAAAAA